Molecule: long non-coding RNA, 390 nt
Organism: Cyprinus carpio carpio
Lineage: Eukaryota; Metazoa; Chordata; Actinopteri; Cypriniformes; Cyprinidae
Source: Ensembl
GAACUGACUUCAUACACUCACUAAAAAUGCCCAGUCAUACGGACCAGUUGAUUAAAAACUGUGUUCACUUAUAGUCCAUUUCUGAUGAAGUGCCUGUGCAAGUGCAGAGCUCCACCAUGAAGCUGGUUUCAGGCCAGCUGACUGAACAUUUGCUUGCUGUUUCAGGUGGAUGAAUGCGACACAGCCAAUGUGAUCCAUCGUUUUUCCUGUGGAUGUUUUCCUGAAUGCCCUGAGAGCAAGAGUGCUGAGAAGAAAGAUGCCACCGCACCAAUUAAACCACAUCAAAUUAUCUAGACUGUCCGUGAUUGGCUGCUGGAGGGAGGAUAAUGGAGUAAAGAAAUCGAAACUACAAGUGUGAAAAUGAAGGAACCGAAUACACAAGAUAGCGAC